GGCAAUCCUCAUCAGUUUCCGGGUGAGCAAAGACCACACUCACUUCGAACAAGCUCUAAGACAAAAAAGAACGGAAUCCGUGAUGCCUGCCGAGCUGCGUGCCAUGGAAAGAAACAAUUCCAGAUUACUUUUGGCAUUCAUGAUGCAGUUCCACAGGGUGGAUCAUCGCUAUUGGGCUCAGGAAACAAGCAUCAAGUGGUGUGAUCACAUCAUCAUGCAGCAGCCAGGCAGCAUGCUAUGAGCCAUCAGACACACAGAGGAAGAAGAGAAAAAAAAUGCAAGUGAAAUCAAGCCCCAACAACAUUCAAUCAUCAAACUAUCUGACAGUGCUGUUAAUAAAAAUCACUUUGUUCUAUAAGGGAAACUAAUGUUUGCAAAGCCAAGAAUUUCCAGAUAUUUAUUAGGAGUUUAAACUACACUUUCAUUUUGCUUUGGAACUGAAAUAAGAAGACAGGAGUAAACCCUCAAUCUCACAGGUUUACCAUCUGAUUUUUUAAAGAGAAGAUUAUCAAUUUUUUUUGAAGUAUUCCCUCUUUGCAGGAGUAAUCCCCUGUUAUCUAAGUAUGAGCUCUCCCCUGCUUACUGUCCCAAAAAAAUAUCCAAUAAAGAGCUCUUACCUCCCCUGGGGCAGGCACUCAGAAGCUAAGGUAAUUUUUUUUUUAGUUGGAUCAAUUUUCACUAUGGCUAUUGGAAAUCUAUGGGGGGGAUUUUAACAAAUGUUGCUCUGAGCUUUUAUCCCAAUUUUUUAAAUAAAGUAUGUGUGAAAACUGUACACUUCUCAAA
Molecule: long non-coding RNA, 783 nt
Organism: Mauremys reevesii (Reeves's turtle)
Lineage: Eukaryota; Metazoa; Chordata; Testudines; Geoemydidae
Exons: 3
Source: RefSeq, a predicted model, not a curated record